AUGAACGCUAGCGGCAGGCUUAACACAUGCAAGUCGAACGGUAACAUGAGUAGCAAUACUUGAUGACGAGUGGCGCACGGGUGCGUAACGCGUAUGCAACUUACCUCUAACUGGAAGAUACCCUUCCGAAAGGAAGAAUAAUACUCCAUUAUAUUUCGAUGUGGCAUCACAUUGUUCUUAAAGCUUCGGCGGUUAGAGAUAGGCAUGCGUCUGAUUAGCUUGUUGGUGAGGUAAUGGCUCACCAAGGCAACGAUCAGUAGGGGGCCUGAGAGGGUUAUCCCCCACACUGGUACUGAGACACGGACCAGACUCCUACGGGAGGCAGCAGUGAGGAAUAUUGGUCAAUGGACGCAAGUCUGAACCAGCCAUGCCGCGUGCAGGAUGAAUGCCCUAUGGGUUGUAAACUGCUUUUCUCAGGGAAUAAACCCUUCUACGUGUAGAAGGCUGAAGGUACCUGAGGAAUAAGCACCGGCUAACUCCGU
RNAcentral lists this ribosomal RNA (482 nucleotides) under uncultured bacterium. RNAcentral describes it as "bacterial SSU rRNA". It matches the Rfam family "Bacterial small subunit ribosomal RNA", at positions 29 to 506 of the family's 1533-position model. The record is from RNAcentral.